This 205-nucleotide unclassified non-coding RNA is filed under the name Hevea brasiliensis (rubber tree). Lineage: Eukaryota; Viridiplantae; Streptophyta; Magnoliopsida; Malpighiales; Euphorbiaceae. The record is from RNAcentral.
AGUCGCCCCACCACCCGUAGCCCCACCUCCAGUUGCAUCACCACCCGUGGCACCUCCGCCAGUCGCUCCACCACCCGUAGCCCCGCCUCCAGUUGCAUCACCACCCGUGGCACCUCCGCCAGUCGCUCCACCACCCGUAGCCCCGCCUCCAGUUGCAUCACCACCCGUGGCACCUCCGCCAGUCGCUCCACCACCCGUAGCCCCG